GACGAACGCUGGCGGCGUGCUUAACACAUGCAAGUCGAACGGAAAGCCCUGCUUUUGUGGGGUGCUCGAGUGGCGAACGGGUGAGUAACACGUGAGUAACCUGCCCUUGACUUUGGGAUAACUUCAGGAAACUGGGGCUAAUACCGGAUAGGAGCUCCUGCUGCAUGGUGGGGGUUGGAAAGUUUCGGCGGUUGGGGAUGGACUCGCGGCUUAUCAGCUUGUUGGUGGGGUAGUGGCUUACCAAGGCUUUGACGGGUAGCCGGCCUGAGAGGGUGACCGGCCACAUUGGGACUGAGAUACGGCCCAGACUCCUACGGGAGGCAGCAGUGGAGAAUAUUGCACAAUGGGCGGAAGCCUGAUGCAGCAACGCCGCGUGCGGGAUGACGGCCUUCGGGUUGUAAACCGCUUUCGCCUGUGACGAAGCGUGAGUGACGGUAAUGGGUAAAGAAGCACCGGCUAACUACGUG
This 467-nucleotide ribosomal RNA is filed under the name uncultured bacterium. RNAcentral describes it as "partial 16S ribosomal RNA". It matches the Rfam family "Bacterial small subunit ribosomal RNA", at positions 28 to 507 of the family's 1533-position model. The record is from RNAcentral.